Molecule: transfer-messenger RNA, 406 nt
Filed under: Candidatus Omnitrophota
Lineage: Bacteria; Pseudomonadati
Also listed under: 1 other name
Description: G020354945 sp020354945 Standard tmRNA
Rfam family: transfer-messenger RNA
About the family: Bacterial tmRNA, also known as 10Sa RNA or SsrA, is named for its dual tRNA and mRNA-like properties. Its role is to liberate the mRNA from a stalled ribosome. To accomplish this part of the tmRNA is used as a reading frame that ends in a translation stop signal.
Source: RNAcentral
GGGGGCGAAUUGGGUUCGACUUGACGUGAUUUAGCAAAAAGGAGCAUGCCAAGGUUGGUCGGUUGGCCUUGUAAAAAGCCGACUACAAUGAUAAGUGCGGACAUACUUCGCACAAGAGUCAUGGAGACAGUUCCUGUUUCGACAGGGAUUGCUUCCAUGAUGCCGCUAGCCGCCUAAGUUGCGGCUACCGUCAGCCGAGCUUGCCUAUGGGUUCGGGCCUGGCGUAGGUAAUAGGCUGGCCCAGCAUUUUUAGCUUUUUGGGUGCUGGGCGAGAUUUUAAAAAGAUAGUUCCAGAAAGAUUGUUCCUGCACAAGCUUUUCGGGAUGAAUUUAAAAUACAGGAUAAGCAUGUAGCGCCUUUUGUUAGACACUCAUGGACAGGGGUCCGACUCCCCUCGCCUCCACCA